This 280-nucleotide long non-coding RNA is filed under the name Homo sapiens (human). RNAcentral's name for it is "PRDM16 divergent transcript". The record is from RNAcentral. Lineage: Eukaryota; Metazoa; Chordata; Mammalia; Primates; Hominidae.
CUUCCGUGUCCCCAAACGCCCAGAGCCCGGGACACGGGCCGGCGGCCGGGUCACCAAGCCAGUUCCCGGAAUCGGCUCGCGCCGGAAUCCAGACUCGGCUUGCAAAGCCCGCUCCUGCCGUCUCUCCGCAGCGCGCCCUGCCCCCCACUGCCGGCCCUCUUAGCUUCAAAACCAAAUUUUGCCUUUCAUCCUGAGAGAUUAAUACCCCGCAGGUGAAACCGUGGAGACGGAGCUGCGGAGGCGCUGCAAGGCUCCGUGCUCCUGGAGCUUCGAGUCUAUG